RNAcentral lists this ribosomal RNA (441 nucleotides) under uncultured bacterium. RNAcentral's name for it is "partial 16S ribosomal RNA". It matches the Rfam family "Bacterial small subunit ribosomal RNA", at positions 338 to 795 of the family's 1533-position model. The record is from RNAcentral.
CCUACGGGAGGCUGCAGUGGGGAAUAUUGCACAAUGGGGGAAACCCUGAUGCAGCGACGCCGCGUGUGUGAAGAAGUAUUUCGGUAUGUAAAGCUCUAGCAGCCGGGAAGAAGAAAGACGGUACCUGACGAAGAAGCCCCGGCUAACUACGUGCCAGCAGCCGCGGUAAUACGUAGGGGGCAAGCGUUAUCCGGAAUUACUGGGUGUAAAGGGAGCGUAGACGGCGGUGCAAGUCUGAAGUGAAAGCCCAGGGCUCAACCCUGUGGCGGCUUUGGAAACUGUGGAUCUGGAGUGAUGGAGAGGUAAGUGGAAUUCCUAGUGUAGCGGUGAAAUGCGUAGAUAUUAGGAGGAACACCAGUGGCGAAGGCGGCUUACUGGACAGUAACUGACGUUGAGGCUCGAAAGCGUGGGGAGCAAACAGGAUUAGAUACCCUUGUAGUC